RNAcentral lists this ribosomal RNA (500 nucleotides) under uncultured bacterium. Its description in RNAcentral is "partial 16S ribosomal RNA". It matches the Rfam family "Bacterial small subunit ribosomal RNA", at positions 29 to 523 of the family's 1533-position model. The record is from RNAcentral.
AUUGAACGCUGGCGGCAUGCCUUACACAUGCAAGUCGAACGGCAGCACGGGGGCAACCCUGGUGGCGAGUGGCGAACGGGUGAGUAAUGCAUCGGAACGUGCCCAGUAGUGGGGGAUAACCAGUCGAAAGGCUGGCUAAUACCGCAUACGACCUUCGGGUGAAAGCGGGGGACCGUAAGGCCUCGCGCUAUUGGAGCGGCCGAUGUCUGAUUAGCUAGUUGGCGGGGUAAGAGCCCACCAAGGCGACGAUCAGUAGCUGGUCUGAGAGGACGACCAGCCACACUGGGACUGAGACACGGCCCAGACUCCUACGGGAGGCAGCAGUGGGGAAUUUUGGACAAUGGGCGCAAGCCUGAUCCAGCCAUGCCGCGUGCGGGAAGAAGGCCUUCGGGUUGUAAACCGCUUUUGGCAGGAACGAAACGGCGCAAGCCAAUACCUUGCGCUAAUGACGGUACCUGCAGAAUAAGCACCGGCUAACUACGUGCCAGCCGCCGCCGUAA